This 475-nucleotide ribosomal RNA is filed under the name uncultured bacterium. RNAcentral describes it as "bacterial SSU rRNA". It matches the Rfam family "Bacterial small subunit ribosomal RNA", at positions 28 to 506 of the family's 1533-position model. The record is from RNAcentral.
GACGAACGCUGGCGGCGUGCUUAAUACAUGCAAGUCAACUGAACUUUAGGUAGCAAUAUUUAAAGGGAGGUGGCGCACGGGUGAGUAACACGUAGGUAAUCUGCCUUCAGGACUGACAUAACUCCGCGAAAGCGGGACUAAAAUCAGAUGAUGCAGCGGCUCGACAUCGAGACAGUUGUUAAACCUUCGGGGCCUGAAGAUGAGCCUGCGUCUGAUUAGGUAGUUGGAGGGGUAAUGGCCCACCAAGCCUGCGAUCAGUAGCUGGUCUGAGAGGAUGAUCAGCCACACUGGAACUGAGACACGGUCCAGACUCCUACGGGAGGCAGCAGUAAGGAUAUUGCUCAAUGGCCGAAAGGCUGAAGCAGCAACGCCGCGUGGAGGAUGAAAUACUUUAGUAUGUAAACUCCUGUAAGAGGGAAAAUAUACAGUUCUGCUGUAUUGAUUGUACCUCAGAGUAAGCACCGGCUAACUACGU